UCCCGUGGCCAUACCGAGGAGGUCACACCCGUUCCCAUCCCGAACACGGCAGUUAAGCUCCUCAGGGCCGAUGGUACUACGUGGGCAACUGCGUGGGAGAGUAGGACGCCGCGGGAU
Molecule: non-coding RNA, 117 nt
Organism: Deltaproteobacteria bacterium
Lineage: Bacteria; Pseudomonadati; Myxococcota; Myxococcia
Source: Rfam